GGUUGUUCAGUUGUACCCUCCCCCUACUUCGUUGUUGUAUAAUAUCACUGCUAUGCUCGGGACUCAUUGGCCCCUGACCAAUUCAGCGAAAGCCUCUCCAGCAGCAACAGCUGACAAGUGUCGCCCGGCUCACAGUGGAUUCUAAAUAACAUAUACACCUGAUUGUGCUAUCAAAUGCAACAAGAUAUUUUGGUACCUGCUCUCCUCUGUGCAACCUACCUGCUUCUCUGGCUGCUGCCUUUGCCUUCUGCUUCAAACUGCCUUUGCCAACAAACCUCCCAUUGUUCUCCCUGGAAGACUGCAAAAUACAGAGUCACAGCCACAACUGACAAUGUAAAACAGAGAAAGCAGCUGGUGAGAUGGAGGAACACAUUGAUCUUCAGAACAAUCUACAGCCAUCUGACUGGGCUUGAAUGUUGGAGAAAUAACUCAUCAUGA
RNAcentral lists this long non-coding RNA (438 nucleotides) under Cyanistes caeruleus (blue tit). RNAcentral describes it as "lncRNA (ENSCCEG00000014112.1)". Lineage: Eukaryota; Metazoa; Chordata; Aves; Passeriformes; Paridae. The record is from RNAcentral.